Molecule: non-coding RNA, 687 nt
Organism: Benincasa hispida (wax gourd)
Lineage: Eukaryota; Viridiplantae; Streptophyta; Magnoliopsida; Cucurbitales; Cucurbitaceae
Source: RefSeq, a predicted model, not a curated record
AAAUAUAAUUAUAAAACAAAAACCUCUUUCUCCUUCUUCUUCCUCACGCCUCCCUACCCGAAACCCCUUCCCUGUUUUUCCUCUUCACGCAAAACGCUCCAGCCGGCACUACGUGCGUCCGACCAAGCCGCCACAAUCGCCGGUCGUUCAUUCGUGGGUUGCCGUUCGCGCCGCUCGCCCCUCCGCGCGCCGAUCUCGCCCAGCUGGUCAGAGUCGCGUCCACGCCGCUGCCGCUCCAGCCACUUGACCGCUGCGUGUCGCGCCCGUCUCCCAACAGCUUGAGCCGCCGCCGCCUUCAGCCGAUCUACUCUACCGUCCAUGGCCGCGCUGCCUGUCUUCUGUUACGUGGAUCUUUGUCGGACUCUCAGAUUUGGAUCUGAGCUUGAAAAUUUUUAGAAGCGGUUGUCCAGCGGAUUCGAGAUUGUUCGGCAAAAGUUUUGGUGAGAGUUGUGAUCCUUGUUGUUGGUUUGUGGGCACACAUUGAUUAUUGAAUUAAAUUUUGACUUAACCCUUGUACCUUUAAGGUUGGAGUCGAAAUCUUGGGAGUGGUUGUUAAUCAAGUUUGUUGGUAAGUUGUUGGGUAUUUUUUAUUUGAAUAUGAGGUUUCGCAAUUAUUGUUGGACUGAAAUUUAAUGGUGUUAGCAUGAUAAAUUGAUAGUAUGAUCUGAAUCAAAGUAUGUUCUGGUA